Molecule: ribosomal RNA, 61 nt
Filed under: Pseudocercospora punicae
Lineage: Eukaryota; Fungi; Ascomycota; Dothideomycetes; Mycosphaerellales; Mycosphaerellaceae
Also listed under: 1 other name
Description: partial 28S ribosomal RNA
Source: RNAcentral
UUUCACAAGGUUGACCUCGGAUCAGGUAGGGAUACCCGCUGAACUUAAGCAUAUCAAUAAG